This 65-nucleotide transfer RNA is filed under the name Dipodomys ordii (Ord's kangaroo rat). It matches the Rfam family "tRNA". Rfam says of the family: Transfer RNA (tRNA) molecules are approximately 80 nucleotides in length. The record is from Rfam by way of RNAcentral. Lineage: Eukaryota; Metazoa; Chordata; Mammalia; Rodentia; Heteromyidae.
GGUGACUCAUUGGUAGAGUGCUUGUUUCGCAUGCAUGAGGCCCUGGGUUCGAUUCCUCAGCACCA